UAAUUCUCCCACCCCAGGAAGUUGGGGUGAGGGCAAGCAACUCCCAUGGCCCCCACUAGAGCAGUCAUUGCAAUCACGAAGAGGUGGGUGUCAACAUAGGGUCUCAGAGGCCACGCAAAUUCAGAUGAGGUUACCUGAUUCCUCAGUGGGAAGGGCAGGAAAGCUCAGGGUAACUAACUGACCAGUCUCUUCUGGAAAGAUGAAGAAACCCUUUCUUUCCAAAGAGCAAGCAGGGAAAUGAGCCUCAAAAAGAUCAAGGGAGCCCAUUUUGUAGAAAUGUGCUUAUCCAAGCAUUGAAUGCAGGGGGAACUGCUUUCUUUUAGAACAAAGGAAAUGUCAAGGUGGGUUUUGAAAGUUUUUAGUCCUUUAAAGGCCACAUACUCAUGAUGUUGAAGCUGAUAUUCGCAAUUCAAAACUUCAAGAUGAUCGGUAGGCAUAUCCCCCCACCACCCCCCUUCUGAAAACUGAUAGCACGACAGCAUGGCCCAGCUGGUCCUCAGAAUGCCCUGGAAUUGCCUGCUAAAAAUUCCCAUCGGGGCUUUUAUCAAGAUAUUCAUUCACCAGAUCUAGAUUACAAGCCAGGAAUUUAUAUUAUUAACAAACAUCCCCAGAUAAUUUCAACACAGACCCUCUGUGGCAAGUCCUCACCAUGCCCCAAAGUGGGUGCAGUGCAGCCGCCUGCCCCACUGACUGUGGGUGUUCUGCCCAUGUGACCUGCUUUGGCUGG
This 727-nucleotide long non-coding RNA is filed under the name Homo sapiens (human). RNAcentral's name for it is "non-protein coding lnc-EVC-2:1". The record is from RNAcentral. Lineage: Eukaryota; Metazoa; Chordata; Mammalia; Primates; Hominidae.